GCAGAUGAAUCACCCCAUUUCAGAUCUCACUUCUCUCCAUUUCCAGCUGUGUGUCCAUGGACGAAACACGGAAUUUUGGGGAGAAUUUAUUUUCCAUCUUUAAAAUGGGAGCAAUAGGAAUGUGCACCUGUCAGCGUUUCUGGGAAGAUGUGAAGAGAUUGUGUCAGGAAACACGCCUAGAGUGUUGGCUGGCACAGAGAAAACAGUUACUAAAUAGAAUUAUUGCUAUUUUUAUUGUUGGUUUGUGCAGAGCAGAAAGGGAGGAACUUUACUGUUAGUGCCCUAAGCUUUAUUCCUGCCGCAGAACUGUAGUUUCUGGUUAUCGAGAGGCCUGGAAGGAAAGAGGAAAUGGAUAGCUCAGUGAAGCCACCCCCUCCCUGGGAGGGGAGCCACCUGAAGCCCAGAGGAAUGGGGCUACUUGCCCAAACAAACACAGCAGUUUGGUGACACAGCCAGGCUUCCAGCUCAGGUCUCAGCUGGCCAAUCCCUCUCCCUCUGCUGGCGGCUACUCUUGAGAGAAGAGGCAACUGACCGAAGGUUGCCUCUGUGGUGAGGCAGGGCUGCAAGCUCCUGGUGCGUGGCCACCUCUGAGCUGUCAUGUGACACCUUCACCAUCCAGGAAGGGCAACUCUGAGCUGGCUGCAGAUCUGGGAAGGAGCCACCGCCUCGCUUCCACUCCCCAUCAAUCUGUGUGAGAAGGAGGCAGCAUCCUGCAGUCCAUCGUGCCUCAGGGCAGCUCUGGAGUUGCCAGUGCAGUGCCCAGUCUAGUGCUGCGACCUUGGCUUGCCUAUGCCUCAGUUUCCCUGCGUGUCCCACGGAGAUAAUGCAAGCAGUGUACUUUGUUCACGGGGCUGUUGGAAGGCGCGUCAGGCGCAGACAAUGCUGUUUGGUACCUCUGAAGGGCUCACCAAAGCAGUGAUGGGGGUACUCAAGAAUUCUUGCAAAGUGAGAAAAUCUAACCGGCACAUCGUUUCCAAGUAUAAUGAAAUUUUUAUGAAUUUUUAUGAAUACUAAAUGAAACCAUUAAUGUGGUUGAUGUAAUAUUUUGU
Mustela erminea (ermine) is the source of this 1049-nucleotide long non-coding RNA. RefSeq lists it as uncharacterized. Lineage: Eukaryota; Metazoa; Chordata; Mammalia; Carnivora; Mustelidae. The transcript is spliced from 3 exons. The record is from RefSeq and is a predicted model, not a curated record.